RNAcentral lists this ribosomal RNA (481 nucleotides) under uncultured bacterium. RNAcentral describes it as "partial 16S ribosomal RNA". It matches the Rfam family "Bacterial small subunit ribosomal RNA", at positions 28 to 507 of the family's 1533-position model. The record is from RNAcentral.
GAUGAACGCUGGCGGCGUGCUUAACACAUGCAAGUCGAACGAAGCAUUUGCGACAGAUUUUUUCGGAAUGAAGUUGCUUAUGACUGAGUGGCGGACGGGUGAGUAACGCGUGGGUAACCUGCCUUGUACUGGGGGAUAGCAGCUGGAAACGGCUGGUAAUACCGCAUAAGCGCACAAUGUUGCAUGACAUGGUGUGAAAAACUCCGGUGGUAUAAGAUGGACCCGCGUCUGAUUAGCUAGUUGGUGAGAUAACAGCCCACCAAGGCGACGAUCAGUAGCCGACCUGAGCGGGUGACCGGCCACAUUGGGACUGAGACACGGUCCAGACUCCUACGGGAGGCAGCAGUGGGGAAUAUUGCACAAUGGAGCAAACUCUGAUGCAGCGACGCCGCGUGAGUGAAGAAGUAAUUCGUUAUGUACAGCUCUAUCAGCAGGGAAGAUAGUGACGGUACCUGACUAAGAAGCCCCGGCUAAAUACGUG